UACGUAGGUGGCUAGCGUUGUCCGGAUUUACUGGGCGUAAAGAGCGCGCAGGCGGUCGUUCAAGUCGAGUGUGAAAGCCCCCGGCUCAACUGGGGAGGGUCACUCGAUACUGAUCGACUCGAAGGCAGGAGAGGGAAGCGGAAUUCCCGGUGUAGUGGUGAAAUUCGUAGAUAUGGGGAGGAACACCGGUGGCGAAGGCGGCCAUCUGGACGGUAACUGACGCUGAGACACGAAGGCCAGGGGAGCAAACGGG
RNAcentral lists this ribosomal RNA (253 nucleotides) under uncultured bacterium. Its description in RNAcentral is "partial 16S ribosomal RNA". It matches the Rfam family "Bacterial small subunit ribosomal RNA", at positions 524 to 776 of the family's 1533-position model. The record is from RNAcentral.